This 810-nucleotide ribosomal RNA is filed under the name uncultured bacterium. RNAcentral describes it as "bacterial SSU rRNA". It matches the Rfam family "Bacterial small subunit ribosomal RNA", at positions 46 to 846 of the family's 1533-position model. The record is from RNAcentral.
GCUUAACACAUGCAAGUCGAGGGGAAACGACAUCGAAAGCUUGCUUUUGAUGGGCGUCGACCGGCGCACGGGUGAGUAACGCGUAUCCAACCUGCCCACCACUUGGGGAUAACCUUGCGAAAGUAAGACUAAUACCCAAUGACGUCUCUAGAAGACAUCUGAAGGAGAUUAAAGAUUUAUCGGUGAUGGAUGGGGAUGCGUCUGAUUAGCUUGUUGGCGGGGUAACGGCCCACCAAGGCGACGAUCAGUAGGGGUUCUGAGAGGAAGGUCCCCCACAUUGGAACUGAGACACGGUCCAAACUCCUACGGGAGGCAGCAGUGAGGAAUAUUGGUCAAUGGGCGAGAGCCUGAACCAGCCAAGUAGCGUGCAGGAUGACGGCCCUAUGGGUUGUAAACUGCUUUUAUAAGGGAAUAAAGUGAGCCUCGUGAGGCUUUUUGCAUGUACCUUAUGAAUAAGGACCGGCUAAUUCCGUGCCAGCAGCCGCGGUAAUACGGAAGGUCCGGGCGUUAUCCGGAUUUAUUGGGUUUAAAGGGAGCGUAGGCCGGAGAUUAAGCGUGUUGUGAAAUGUAGACGCUCAACGUCUGCACUGCAGCGCGAACUGGUUUCCUUGAGUACGCACAAAGUGGGCGGAAUUCGUGGUGUAGCGGUGAAAUGCUUAGAUAUCACGAAGAACUCCGAUUGCGAAGGCAGCUCACUGGAGCGCAACUGACGCUGAGGCUCGAAAGUGCGGGUAUCGAACAGGAUUAGAUACCCUGGUAGUCCGCACGGUAAACGAUGGAUGCCCGCUGUUGGUCUGAAUAGGUCAGCGG